RNAcentral lists this ribosomal RNA (508 nucleotides) under uncultured bacterium. Its description in RNAcentral is "partial 16S ribosomal RNA". It matches the Rfam family "Bacterial small subunit ribosomal RNA", at positions 28 to 507 of the family's 1533-position model. The record is from RNAcentral.
GACGAACGCUGGCGGCGUGCCUAAUACAUGCAAGUCGAACGCUUCUUUCCUCCCGAGUGCUUGCACUCCAUUGGAAAGAGGAGUGGCGGACGGGUGAGUAACACGUGGGUAACCUACCCAUCAGAGGGGGAUAACACUUGGAAACAGGUGCUAAUACCGCAUAACAGUUUAUGCCGCAUGGCAUAAGAGUGAAAGGCGCUUUCGGGUGUCGUUGAUGGAUGGACCUGCGGUGCAUUAGCUAGUUGGUGAGGUAACGGCUCACCAAGGCCACGAUGCAUAGCCGACCUGAGAGAGUGAUCGGCCACACUGGAACUGAGACACGGCCCAGGCUCCUACGGGAGGCAGCAGUAGGGAAUCUUCGGCAAUGGACGAAAGUCUGACCGAGCAACGCCGCGUGAGUGAAGAAGGUGUUCGGAUCGUAAAACUCUGUUGUUAGAGAAGAACAAGGACGUUAGUAACUGAACGUCCCCUGACGGUAUCUAACCAGAAAGCCACGGCUAACUACGUG